AGCUGCAAUGCAACAAUGCUACCUAGGUAUCACCUGAACCUACCAUCAAUCGCUGUUCCUGAUCUCAGGGAUCCAACAACUGUAUCUAGAACAGUUAGAAAUGUAGGUGAGGUUAAUGCAGUUUACCACGCUGAAAUCCAGUGCCCACCUGGAGUUAAAAUGGUUGUUGAGCCAUCUGUUCUUGUCUUCGAUGCUGCAAACAAAGUUCACACCUUCAAGGUUAGUUUUUCACCUCUAUGGAAAUUGCAAGGGGACUAUACAUUUGGCAGCCUUACUUGGCACAAUGACAACAAGUCAGUGAGAAUUCCAAUAGCAGUCCAGAUCACCAUCCAAGAUUUCUAUGCAGAUGUUGCAUAACCUGGGCAAAACAUGCAGGCAAUAACACAGUGCUCUUAGAGGCAAUAGAGCAAAAUACAGGAUAUACCAAUUUCCACAGAGAUAUGGUUGCUUGUAAAUACUUAUCACCAGAAUAAUGAGUUAAUGACCGGCCAAUGUUGACUGGUCAAUGUAUUUCAUUUCUAUCACGUAUCUGAUUAUCACUUCGAUGGAUGGUCAAUUUCAUACCAUGUUGGUUACAGAAAUACAAAAAUGUUCAGGUCUAUGUCAUGCCAUGUCUUAAAAUAUCAUGUAGUUUUUCCUCCCACCUAACGCGGUAUGACACUGAUUAAAGUCACAAUGCUUACCUGCAAUGACAAAGAGGGGUGGUAAAAAGUCACAAGAUGACACUCAAAACAUGCUUUGCAAGUUCAUUUGCAAUCAGAAGUCAGUCCCACACACGAUUUUACUUGAUGGAAAUUCCAGGUAUUUGAUCUGUUAGCUACUCUGUAGAAAAGAAGGUAAGGAAAAUGGCACCCCCGUAUUGUGUAAAGUUCUAUAGCCUGACUCCACCUAUCAGACAUUUAUUCACGUUUUGGUUUGCCCAUGUCAACAAGUUGCGACAGUAAGAGUGCACAGGUUACUUCUCAUCAAAGCACACGACUACUUUUUAGGACAAAAAACUCCAACAAAAUCUUCUGUUCAUGUUAUAUCCCUUCCCAUGUUAAAUUUAGUUAUCAUACAAAGAGUCAAUGUCAUGCAAGCUAAGAAAAUCCAGAUGAUUAGUACAAACUACAGAGUAUCCAAGAUGAACUCAUAGUAUGAUGUAUUUUGACGAGCAAGGGAAAGAAAAGGUCUAUGUGCAUGUGGAACAACAUUGGUCAUAAUGGAAUUAAUAAUCCACAAAUGGUUACACAUGACCUGUACACCAACAAACACAUGACUUACGAACAAAGGAUAGCAUCGCUUGUUCAAACGGGACGAGUCAAAACUUCUGGAGAUGGACUAUUUGCACAUUGUGUUGUUAUCUGAGUAUUAUCUGUGUAGCUUAGAACUGAUCAUUAAAAUGAAAAACAAAAUAAAAUAGAAGUCUUACAAAUUUAUCUGAGUAUUAUCUGGUUUACUACGUAUUUCAAUAGCGAAACAAAUGCAUUGAUGUAAAAUAAUACAGUUUCAUCUCAGUCAAAAUAUUUUAAAGAGAAACCAACAGGGGCCUGGUGGUGCUAAAGUCUAACAUAGGAAGAUCGCAGCAUAUCAUCAGCUAACUACUACAAUGGAUAUUGACAGGCAAAUACGGAGUAGCUUUCAAAAUUUUGGGGAAAAAGAUAACUCAUCCAACAUAACUGUCUUCUUCCAUUUGUAUGUCAUGUUUCUGUCAAUUCUCAAGAUGCCCAGCAGAGAAACUUGCCUCUAUAAAUUGUACAUUGAUGGGUUGGAGAAAAACGUGCACAGAUAUAAACAAUGACCUUACACUCUUCGUAACCAAUUUAUCAGCUCGCCACUAAUCCUGCCCUCUAUAUCUAUCUCUGAUUAUCCAAUUGAAGUGCAACAAGAACUCGCUAAUGUGAUUGAGCAUACUCGAGGCAGUGUGCCACUCCAUGAGUCCAAGAUCCAGUGCUCACCAGGAAUCAAAAUCGGCAUCGAUCCAUCUGUUCAUAGUUAGACUAUCACAUGUACGGCAAUGAAGGGGGCUACAUUUUUUUUUUUUAAAAAAAAAAGAAGGCAAGAAGAUUGCCUUACUUGGAAGGAUAGCCGCACCAUACAGUGAGGAUCUCAAAUGCUGUACAGAUUACGGCUCAUAAUUUCUACCGCUGAUGUAGCAUAGCCCGAAUGUCCGUGAAAAUUGCAAAAUAAGAGGCAAAUCCGAGAGGGAGAAACGAUCUGAACACCGCGUGUUUGUGCCCGUAGAAGAGGAUAAGAGUCGUUCUGUGCUUGUGAGGAUUACCUUUCUUCACUCGCCGUCAAUUGGGACGGCCGCCGAGGGAGACGAAACCGGCAGAGGAGGGACGAACUCGGGUCGCCCGGCAGCAUCCGGCGGGCGACGCCUCGGUGCGUGUGCGGAGCUAGCUCCUAGCGGCGGGGGGGGGGGGGGGGGGGUGGGGCUUGUUCGUUGCUACCUCCUUCAUCAUCGGCUUGGCCGGCUCAGACGCUGGGAACUUGGGGACAGCAUUUGCCGGCGGCCGCCC
This 2501-nucleotide long non-coding RNA is filed under the name Oryza sativa (Asian cultivated rice). RNAcentral describes it as "long non-coding RNA (OSAT_LNC001592)". The record is from RNAcentral. Lineage: Eukaryota; Viridiplantae; Streptophyta; Magnoliopsida; Poales; Poaceae.